GUACCAUGGUGUGGGCAUUGUAGUAAAAGUGAUUUGAAGCAAUCCUAUGCUUCAUAAAAGGAUUUAAUAUCCUUUUAAUAAAAGUUGGAAAUUUCAGCCCUUCUUUGGUCU
This 111-nucleotide small nucleolar RNA is filed under the name Ricinus communis (castor bean). RNAcentral describes it as "Plant small nucleolar RNA R71". It matches the Rfam family "Plant small nucleolar RNA R71". From Rfam's summary of the family: R71 is a member of the C/D box family of snoRNAs containing the C (UGAUGA) and D (CUGA) box motifs. Multiple nearly identical copies of this snoRNA have been identified in Arabidopsis, and it is thought to function as a 2'-O-ribose methylation guide for 18S ribosomal RNA. Lineage: Eukaryota; Viridiplantae; Streptophyta; Magnoliopsida; Malpighiales; Euphorbiaceae. The record is from Rfam by way of RNAcentral.